This 368-nucleotide ribosomal RNA is filed under the name uncultured bacterium. RNAcentral's name for it is "partial 16S ribosomal RNA". It matches the Rfam family "Bacterial small subunit ribosomal RNA", at positions 355 to 717 of the family's 1533-position model. The record is from RNAcentral.
UGGGGAAUUUUGGACAAUGGGCGAAGCCUGAUCCAGCAAUGCCGCGUGUGUGAAGAAGGCCUUCGGGUUGUAAAGCACUUUUGUCCGGAAAGAAAUCCUUGGCUCUAAUACAGUCGGGGGAUGACGGUACCGGAAGAAUAAGCACCGGCUAACUACGUGCCAGCAGCCGCGGUAAUACGUAGGGUGCAAGCGUUAAUCGGAAUUACUGGGCGUAAAGCGUGCGCAGGCGGUUUGCUAAGACCGAUGUGAAAUCCCCGGGCUCAACCUGGGAACUGCAUUGGUGACUGGCAGGCUAGAGUAUGGCAGAGGGGGUAGAAUUCCACGUGUAGCAGUGAAAUGCGUAGAGAUGUGGAGGAAUACCGAUGGCG